Molecule: ribosomal RNA, 243 nt
Filed under: uncultured soil bacterium
Lineage: Bacteria
Description: partial 16S ribosomal RNA
Rfam family: Bacterial small subunit ribosomal RNA
Source: RNAcentral
AGAGUGAACGCUGGCGGUAGGCCUAACACAUGCAAGUCGAACGGCAGCACAGGAGAGCUUGCUCUCUGGGUGGCGAGUGGCGGACGGGUGAGGAAUACAUCGGAAUCUACCUUUUCGUGGGGGAUAACGUAGGGAAACUUACGCUAAUACCGCAUAAGACCUUCGGGUGAAAGCCGGGGACCUUCGGGCCUGGCGCGGAUAGAUGAGCCGAUGUCGGAUUACGCGUUCGUUGGUCGGGGUAAA